AUGGCGAUCUCCCACCUCACCCGCCGCCUCCUGAGCCCCUCGACCGCCACCGCCACCGCCAAGCUCUUCCCCGGCACGAGCUUCUCGAAUCCCCACGCCUAUGCGCGAAACCCCCUCCUCCUAUUCGACCCCCACCGCCGCUUCUCCACGAGCCCAAACACCAGCUCCAACCCCGACGCCGCCGCCGCCCCCGCUCCAGAAGCCACUCCCCUGGAGUCGAUGAAGCACCAGGAGAUCGAGGGCCCCACGGUGGAGCGCGACCUGUCGCCGCUCGCCGACGAGGCGCGGGCGGAGCUCAACGCCCUCCGCCGCGCCGCGCAGCGCCUCAGCGCCUCCCUCGCGAUCCUCGGCGGGACGCACCUCGCCGCAGGAGCGUGGAUCGCCUCCGGGGCCGCGCCCGUCGGGGUCGAGUCGGCCGCGUUGGUGCAGGGCGUGGCGGCGUUCGCGUUCCCCUUCACGGCCGCCCUGGUGCUUCGCCGUGUCAUCAAGCCCGUCGCCUUCUUCCAGAAGAUGGAGGCCAACGGGAGGCUGCAGGUGCUCACGCUUUGCCUCCAGGCCACGAAGAACGUUAACCUCAUGAUGCUCCGGACGCGGGUGGUCGCCAUCUCUUGCGCCCUCGGAGUGUCGGUCGGAUCGGUAGCUACGAUCUUGAUGCGGUAA
RNAcentral lists this ribosomal RNA (660 nucleotides) under Triticum aestivum (bread wheat). Its description in RNAcentral is "partial small subunit ribosomal RNA". Lineage: Eukaryota; Viridiplantae; Streptophyta; Magnoliopsida; Poales; Poaceae. The record is from RNAcentral.